RNAcentral lists this ribosomal RNA (478 nucleotides) under uncultured bacterium. Its description in RNAcentral is "bacterial SSU rRNA". It matches the Rfam family "Bacterial small subunit ribosomal RNA", at positions 32 to 521 of the family's 1533-position model. The record is from RNAcentral.
AAUCAACGCUGGCGGCGUGCCUAACACAUGCAAGUCGAACGAGAAAGUGGACCCAAUCCAUGAGUAAAGUGGCGACCGGGUGAGUAACACGUGACUAACCUACCUUCGAGUGGGGGAUAACCUCGGGAAACCGGGGACUAAUACCGCAUAACAUCUUUGAAGUGGAAAUUUCGGAGAUCAAAGGAGCAAUUCGCUGGAAGAGGGGGUCGCGGCUGAUUAGCUAGUUGGCGGAGUAACGGCCCACCAAGGCUAGAUCGGUAGCCGGCCUGAGAGGGCGCACGGCCACACUGGAACUGAAACACGGUCCAGACUCCUACGGGAGGCAGCAGUGGGGAAUUUUGCGCAAUGGGGGAAACCCUGACGCAGCAACGCCGCGUGGAGGAUGAAGUCCCUUGGGACGUAAACUCCUUUCGACCCGGACGAUAAUGACGGUACGGGUGGAAGAAGCCCCGGCUAACUUCGUGCCAGCAGCCGCAGU